Molecule: long non-coding RNA, 341 nt
Organism: Anopheles merus
Lineage: Eukaryota; Metazoa; Arthropoda; Insecta; Diptera; Culicidae
Exons: 3
Source: RefSeq, a predicted model, not a curated record
CCCUUUUGCUGAUGGUUUCAUUGACUUUGCCGCCCGGUUGUGUUAUACGGUGUACUGGAACGAGGAUAAUUGGAAGGAAUCUAGCGGCGAAGAAACGGCCGCAAAGCGAAACAAACAGUUUAACAAACUGCAAAGCAUCAUGGAGAUGGUCGGUACUGCUCCAAAUCAGCUUAAUUUGCGUUGGUUGUACAUCCUUUCUGCGGUUCUAGACAGAUAUGAGGCAGCACUUACUAGCGACGACUAUGCGCAACUGUUGCAACUGUUGUGCAAUGUGCAACCGAGCCUACAAUCGCCGCACGAGCAUGAUGCUUUCUACCAGUGCUGUUCCGUGCUGCUCGCGU